This 253-nucleotide ribosomal RNA is filed under the name uncultured bacterium. Its description in RNAcentral is "partial 16S ribosomal RNA". It matches the Rfam family "Bacterial small subunit ribosomal RNA", at positions 524 to 776 of the family's 1533-position model. The record is from RNAcentral.
UACGGAGGGUGCUAGCGUUGUUCGGAAUUACUGGGCGUAAAGCGCGUGUAGGCGGCUAGGCAAGUCGGAUGUGAAAGCCCCGGGCUCAACCCUGGAACGGCAUCCGAAACUAUCUGGCUAGAGUCCUGGAGAGGAAGGCAGAAUUCCCGGUGUAGGGGUGAAAUCCGUAGAUACCGGGAGGAAUACCAGUAGCGAAGGCGGCUCACUGGCUCGGUACUGACGCUGAGGUGCGAAAGCGUGGGUAGCAAACAGG